Molecule: unclassified non-coding RNA, 347 nt
Filed under: soil metagenome
Description: partial contains 5.8S ribosomal RNA, internal transcribed spacer 2, and large subunit ribosomal RNA
Rfam family: 5.8S ribosomal RNA (bases 1-120)
Source: RNAcentral
GAUGAAGAACGUAGUGAAAUGCGAUAAUUAAUGUGAAUUGCAGAAUUCAGUGAAUCAUCGAGUCUUUGAACGCACAUUGCGCCCCCUGGUAUUCCGGGGGGCAUGCCUGUCCGAGCGUCAUUGCUGCCCUCAAGCACGGCUUGUGUGUUGGGCUUCCGUCCCUGGCAACGGGGACGGGCCCAAAAGGCAGUGGCGGCACCAUGUCUGGUCCUCGAGCGUAUGGGGCUUUGUCACCCGCUCCCGUAGGUCCAGCUGGCAGCUAGACUCGCAACCAAUCUUUUUAACCAGGUUGACCUCGGAUCAGGUAGGGAUACCCGCUGAACUUAAGCAUAUCAAUAAGCGGAGGA